GAGUAGCAUAGUGGUAGAGCAUCUGCUCUGCAUGCAGAAGUUCUCAGGUUCAGUCCCUGGCAUCACCA
Podarcis lilfordi (Lilford's wall lizard) is the source of this 68-nucleotide non-coding RNA. Lineage: Eukaryota; Metazoa; Chordata; Lepidosauria; Squamata; Lacertidae. The record is from the annotation of a GenBank genome assembly.